AUACACCAGUGCAUAACCCGCAUAUUGAAGGGGCUACAUGCAAUACCUCGUAUAGGGGUAACCAUCCUUCAAGGAUAUUUACCGUUUUUUACUGCGCUAAAGUCGGCAUUUCUCUACUACUCUUACUUUAAAAAUUUUCCAAAAUUGUUGAGUUUUAUCUGUUUUCCUGUAAUUUUCAGUUGAAAAUACUUACAAAGAAUCUACACCUCCGAGCGGUUGAAGUUGAAGAACUACUCGGGUGAAAGAAACCCUAACAUCUACUUUAGCUGAAUGUCACAAUGAAAUCAUAUGUUUAAGGAACAACUGUCAGGAAUUCCGAGAAAUGCUCACAGCUCAAGAGAAGACGACAACCAGGUCACACCAUAAUAUCUCAACUGAUGACUCGUUCCACAGUCCUCAGCCAGAGAUAAUCGAAUCUCUGGCAGGGGUUGUGGACCUCCAGCUUCAAGAAGCUAAGGAAGAGUUGGUUAAAAAGGAUGAUUUCAUUAAAGACCUCGAAUCUGCUUUAGAACAUGAACACAAAGAAGUUCUGCGACUGAGCAGAGAAGCUGCACAACUUCAAGACAGUCUAAAUGAAGCUAACAAGCAGGUGAUGGUUUUGCAGGAAGACAUUGACGAAAAAGAAACAGCUGUGUUGACUAUGAGCUCUAACUUUACCAACGAACGCAACCUAAAUGAAGCACUCAAUGCAAAAUUAGUUGAAAUGGAAUUUGAGGCUAAUAAGAAUACUGAAAACAUUGUUAAAACCAAGGAUGUAAUCCUCAAGUUGGAAAAAGAGCUUGCUUGUGUGAAAACGGCACUUACACAAGCAGAAAAGGAUAAAAGUGAAGCUGUUCAGCAGUGGACAGGAGAAACUAGAAAACUAGGAAAUGAUUUAGCCAAGGUGUUCAAACAGAAAACGGACCUUCAAAAUGCUCUGGAUGAAAAACAGGCUGAACUUAGUGCUUUAAGAUUGGUGUGCGAAAGUGAAAAAAGUCGCAAUCAGUGCUUAGAAAGGAAUCUCACACGAGUUGAAUUUUCUCUGAAUCAACAGUCCAUUGAAAUAGCUGAAAGCAAAGAUAUUAUUAGAAGGUUAGAAGAAACAAGGUCUGAAGCUCAGCAUACUAUUUCGUCGUUGGAAGAAGAAAGAAAACAAAGUCAAAUUCUAUGGAUGGAAGAUCGUAAGAAACUUCAGGGCGAUUGUGAUGAAUUACUAAAACAAAAUGAAGCUCUACGCCAAGAGACUAAAGAAAUUGGAGUUCGUCUAUUUAACGUAAAUUUAAAUCUUGAAAAAAGAACUUUGUCAUAGCAAAAACCUCAGUAACAAGAUUGCUGAAUAUGACUCCCUCCUGUCUGAAAAGAUGAAAUUACUAUCAGACAAUAAUGGUGCUCUUUUGAGACUAGAAGAAGAAUUGAGUCAUCUGAAAACGGAAAAUGUGCAGUUGAAAGAGACUUUACAAGAGAUGGAAACUCAGCGGAUCGAAGAAAUCCUUAAACUUGAAGACCUAAAUAGGAAGCUGUCUGAAGACAAUUGUACCCUGUCUCUGGAUAUUCAAGGGAAAGAAGUAGAGAUUUUGAAUUUUAAAUCGAAAUACGAAGAAGAGUCAUGCAAAAAUGAGCAACUUGAAAAAAGACAGAUUAACUUGGAGCGGUCUCUUUCUGAUUUGUCAAAGAUGAUCACUGUAAGUGAUGAAACUUGCAGAAAUGAACAUGAAAAACUACUUGCAUUGCAAUCCGCUUUUUCAACUUUAGAGGAUGAGAAGAAGAGAGAGGAAAACCAGCUGAAUGAAGAAAUCACGAAACUUCAAUCGGAUGUAGCAAAAUUAGCAGAGAAAUGUAAUACCCUUCAGGGACACCUUGACUCAAAGUCCAAAGAAUUAUGCAACAUCCGUCAUGAUUACGAAAAAGAACUUGGUCGAAAUCAAGCUCUCCGUGAAGACUUACUUAAAGCAGAAUUUAUGUUUGACAAUAACCUUUCCGAGAAAGAAGACAUCAUUUCAAAGCUAAAUGAAGAGUUUAAAAAAUUAAAGUCGGCUCAAUCUGAGGCCAAAAUGGAUUUUCUUGCAAGGGAAGCUCAAUUCAUGGGCGAAGUAGCAUCCCUUAAACUCGAUUUUAAGGAAGUAACGGAACUGAUCAACACUUUACAAUCAAGGCUUCAGAACUUACAAGAUAAGCUUUUGUCCAUUGAAUCAGUCCAAGAAUAUGAACGGGAACAAAUCAAUGCCUCAUCAAAAAGUAAUAGAGUUAGAAUUCUCUCUCUCAGAAAAAGUAAAAGAUAUCCGUGAUAAUAAAGAAAUGCAAAACAAACUUUGUCAAAAAAUUACAGAUUCUAUUGCAAACUGUUCAAAGCUUGAAGAACAGAAGAGUGAAUUGGAAAAUCUAGUCCUGAGGCUUCAAACUAGUAUAGGUGAAGCGGGUGAGCGAACCACCUUGCUGCAAGAAGGAAUGCGAAAUAAACAAAAUGAAGUUUUCGCCAUUCAAUUAGAUCUUGAAAAUGAGCGUUGUUUAAACAAAGAACUUCAUGAGAAACUGACUUGCUUUGAAGUUUCCCUCUCUGAAAUGUCGCAAAUGAUGACUGUUACAAAAAAAGCCCUUGCCGAAGCCACACAAGAAUUGACCAGUCAAAAGUCAAUGCUUUUAAGUUUAGAACAAGAAAAGUUACAGCUUACUAUUAGUUUAGAAGAGAAGAGUAAGUUGGAGAAAACUUUGAAGCAAGAGCUUGAAGCCAAAGCUUCACAGCUUGUCACCACCAUUUCUAAGUGUGAUUAUGAAUGUAAGCAGAAGCAACUUCUGAGUACGAACUUACACGAACUUGAGUUCUCUCUCGGAGAAACCGUCAAAGAUCUCAAUGACAGCAAAGAAAUGAUUCAGAAGUUAAAUGAUGAGUUGAACAAUUUCAGAAGCACCUAUUCUAGAGCAGAAGAAAAUGAAAAAAUGAAAUUACUUCAAUGGAAUGAAGAGACCGAUCAAAUACGCUUUGAAUUGGACAAUACCUUACAGCUUGUUGAUACCCUGAAACAAGACGUUGAAGAAAAACGUGCAGAGAUUUUGACAAUGAAGUUGAAUCAAAAAAUGAGCAAAACAGAAGUCAGCAGCUCAACAAAAAAAUAGUUGAACUAGAACAGUGUCUUAGUGAAAAGGAAAAAGAACUCAAAAUGAGUUCAGAAACAUCAAAGAAUCUUGAAGAAGAUAUGAAGUCCUUGAAGUCAAAAUUCGUGGAGUUUGCGGAAAACAACAACCAAGUUGUUUCCAACAUGAAAGGAGAGUUCCACCAAAUGGAGAACUUCUUUAAAGAUCUCACCAAAGAAAACAAUGAGUUGAAAACUGAACUGAGCAAAAGGUCAACAGAUAUUCAGGAUAUUAAUAGAAUAAAUGAUUUAAAGACAGCUGAAAAUUCAAAGACUUUGGAUGAGCUCAAGGUGCUAUAGAAAGAAUCAGGGAAUUGGAAAAUGAGAAUACUGAAUUGAAGGAAGCCUACAGUAAAUUAUUAGAUGAUCUUGAAAGGUAAGAAAAUCAACUUCUCAUUAAUCUCAGUUGUUUUCUUCUUUUUGUUCAUUGUUUUUUUUAUGUAUUAAUUACGAAUGUACAACUAUUACCUGUAUUUGU
Molecule: long non-coding RNA, 3585 nt
Filed under: Bemisia tabaci
Lineage: Eukaryota; Metazoa; Arthropoda; Insecta; Hemiptera; Aleyrodidae
Description: lncRNA ENSSSA2NGG000711
Source: RNAcentral